This is a transfer RNA of 91 nucleotides. It matches the Rfam family "tRNA". From Rfam's summary of the family: Transfer RNA (tRNA) molecules are approximately 80 nucleotides in length. Their secondary structure includes four short double-helical elements and three loops (D, anti-codon, and T loops). The record is from Rfam.
GCGGGUUUAGCUCAGUUGGGAGAGCGUCAGACUGAAGUAGCACUUCAUUCGCAUUAUCUGAAGGUCAUGUGUUCGAUCCACAUAAACCGCA